This 103-nucleotide microRNA precursor is filed under the name Marmota monax (woodchuck). The record is from RNAcentral. Lineage: Eukaryota; Metazoa; Chordata; Mammalia; Rodentia; Sciuridae.
AGUGGGAUAGCUGGGUCAAAUGGUGGUUUCAUUCUAAGUUUUCUGAAGCAUCUCCACACUGCUUUCCAAAGUAGUUGCACCAGUUUGCAGUUCCACCAGCAAU